AGUCAUAUGCUUGUCUCAAAGAUUAAGCCAUGCAUGUCUCAGUACAAGCCAAAUUAAGGUGAAACCGCGAAAGGCUCAUUAAAUCAGUUAUGGUUCCUUAGAUCGUACCCACAUUUACUUGGAUAACUGUGGUAAUUCUAGAGCUAAUACAUGCAAACAGAGCUCCGACCGGAGACGGAAGGAGCGCUUUUAUUAGAUCAAAACCAAUCGGCGGCGGGUUCGCUCGUCGUCGUACAACUUGGUGAAUCUGAAUAACUUUCUGCUGAUCGCAUGGUCUCGCACCGGCGACGCAUCUUUCAAAUGUCUGCCUUAUCAACUGUCGAUGGUAGGUUCUGCGCCUACCAUGGUUGUAACGGGUAACGGGGAAUCAGGGUUCGAUUCCGGAGAGGGAGCCUGAGAAACGGCUACCACAUCCAAGGAAGGCAGCAGGCGCGCAAAUUACCCACUCCCGGCACGGGGAGGUAGUGACGAAAAAUAACGAUACGGGACUCAUCCGAGGCCCCGUAAUCGGAAUGAGUACACUCUAAACCCUUUAACGAGGAUCAAUUGGAGGGCAAGUCUGGUGCCAGCAGCCGCGGUAAUUCCAGCUCCAAUAGCGUAU
RNAcentral lists this ribosomal RNA (601 nucleotides) under Potamophilus acuminatus. RNAcentral's name for it is "SSU rRNA". It matches the Rfam family "Eukaryotic small subunit ribosomal RNA", at positions 22 to 602 of the family's 1831-position model. RNAcentral also lists the same sequence under 1 other name. Lineage: Eukaryota; Metazoa; Arthropoda; Insecta; Coleoptera; Elmidae. The record is from RNAcentral.